UACAGAGGUCCCAAGCGUUGUUCGGAUUCACUGGGCGUAAAGGGUGCGUAGGUGGUUGGGUAAGUCUGAUGUGAAAUCUCCGGGCUCAACCCGGAAAUGGCAUUGGAUACUAUUCGGCUAGAGGUUUGGAGGGGGGACUGGAAUUCUCGGUGUAGCAGUGAAAUGCGUAGAUAUCAGGAGGAACACCGGUGGCGAAGGCGGGUCUCUGGGCAGUAACUGACGCUGAGGAACGAAAGCGUGGGUAGCAAACAGG
RNAcentral lists this ribosomal RNA (253 nucleotides) under uncultured bacterium. RNAcentral describes it as "partial 16S ribosomal RNA". It matches the Rfam family "Bacterial small subunit ribosomal RNA", at positions 524 to 776 of the family's 1533-position model. The record is from RNAcentral.